GACGAACGCUGGCGGCGUGCCUAAUACAUGCAAGUUGAGCGCUGAAAGUUGGUACUUGUACCAACUGGAUGAGCAGCGAACGGGUGAGUAACGCGUGGGGAAUCUGCCUUUGAGCGGGGGACAACAUUUGGAAACGAAUGCUAAUACCGCAUAAAAACUUUAAACACAAGUUUUAAGUUUGAAAGAUGCAAUUGCAUCACUCAAAGAUGAUCCCGCGUUGUAUUAGCUAGUUGGUGAGGUAAAGGCUCACCAAGGCGAUGAUACAUAGCCGACCUGAGAGGGUGAUCGGCCACAUUGGGACUGAGACACGGCCCAAACGCCUACGGGAGGCAGCAGUAGGGAAUCUUCGGAAAUGGACGAAAGUCUGACCGAGCAACGCCGCGUGAGUGAAGAAGGUUUUCGGAUCGUAAAACUCUGUUGGUAGAGAAGAACGUUGGUGAGAGUGGAAAGCUCAUCAAGUGACGGUAACUACCCAGAAAGGGACGGCUAACUACGUG
This 497-nucleotide ribosomal RNA is filed under the name uncultured bacterium. Its description in RNAcentral is "partial 16S ribosomal RNA". It matches the Rfam family "Bacterial small subunit ribosomal RNA", at positions 28 to 507 of the family's 1533-position model. The record is from RNAcentral.